AUUGAACGCUGGCGGCAUGCUUUACACAUGCAAGUCGAAUGGUAACAGGCCUUCGGGUGCUGACGAGUGGCGAACGGGUGAGUAAUGCAUCGGAACGUGCCCAGAGGUGGGGGAUAACGCAGCGAAAGCUGUGCUAAUACCGCAUGUGAUCUGAGGAUGAAAGCGGGGGACCAGGCAGCAAUGUUUGGCCUCGCGCCUUUGGAGCGGCCGAUGUCAGAUUAGGUAGUUGGUGGGGUAAAGGCCUACCAAGCCGACGAUCUGUAGCUGGUCUGAGAGGACGACCAGCCACACUGGGACUGAGACACGGCCCAGACUCCUACGGGAGGCAGCAGUGGGGAAUUUUGGACAAUGGGCGCAAGCCUGAUCCAGCAAUGCCGCGUGCGGGAAGAAGGCCUUCGGGUUGUAAACCGCUUUUGUACGGAACGAAAAGGCUCUGGCUAAUACCUGGGGCUGAUGACGGUACCGUAAGAAUAAGCACCGGCUAACUACGUG
RNAcentral lists this ribosomal RNA (492 nucleotides) under uncultured bacterium. Its description in RNAcentral is "partial 16S ribosomal RNA". It matches the Rfam family "Bacterial small subunit ribosomal RNA", at positions 30 to 507 of the family's 1533-position model. The record is from RNAcentral.